This is a long non-coding RNA of Drosophila miranda, 773 nucleotides long. RefSeq lists it as uncharacterized. NCBI's taxonomy places the organism in Eukaryota, Metazoa, Arthropoda, Insecta, Diptera, Drosophilidae. The record is from RefSeq and is a predicted model, not a curated record. The transcript has 2 exons.
AACAGCAUUGAUUGAUAGCUGUGACGGCUACCAACACCAUCACAUUAUAUUUAUCGCUAUGUCUGUUUAUAUCUCUGUCCGUCAGUCUAAAUAAGACUUGAAGUCUGUUGUCAUACGACCAUGACAUCCGUGGUAUAUGUAUAUUACAGACACUUCGCUUCGUAAAAAAAUCGCUUACAGGGCAGUUUUUAUAAGGAGGCUCAUGGGCCAGGAAGACGGGCAUGGACUAUAAUGCUUAUCAUAAAUCAUAUGUACAUACAUAUAUACAUAUAUUUUAUCAAGCUAGAAACACUUUCUUCUGGAUUUACGCACAUUUAAUACAUAUACAUAUGUACCCCUGUAAGGGCUCGCGCACACUAUAGCUGAAAGCGGAGCUGAAAUCGGAGCUGAUAGCUGAUUUAUAAGCUCUGAAAAAAAAAACACACUGCACCGGUGCAAGUGCGCACAUUGCAGACUGAGCUGAGCUGAAAGCUGGAAAAGCUCGCUGAAAUCAGCUCAGCUUAGUUUGAUCGACCAAGCAUGUUUGUUUUUUCAGCAAGCUGAUUGCUGAUUUUGUUCAAGUGUAUUGGUUCAUAAGUGAUCGUAAAUGGGCUGCGAAACAUUGUUAAGCGAAAUUAUGGUUAACCCAGCGCUGGGGAAUAAGCGGGAUUAUUAAAAAUAUUUGAAUAAUAGUUUUAUUUCUAUAAUUUCUGGAAGGCGAUAAAUUGGGCAAAAAAGUUUUAUUAUUACCAUUUUCAUAUGUCAAUAAUAAAUAUAAUAUACUAUGUCCCCAA